GACGAACGCUGGCGGCGUGCCUAAUACAUGCAAGUAGAACGCUGAAGGAGGAGCUUGCUUCUCUGGAUGAGUUGCGAACGGGUGAGUAACGCGUAGGUAACCUGCCUGGUAGCGGGGGAUAACUAUUGGAAACGAUAGCUAAUACCGCAUAAUAGUAGAUGUUGCAUGACAUUUGCUUAAAAGGUGCAAUUGCAUCACUACCAGAUGGACCUGCGUUGUAUUAGCUAGUUGGUGAGGUAACGGCUCACCAAGGCGACGAUACAUAGCCGACCUGAGAGGGUGGUCGGCCACACUGGGACUGAGACACGGCCCAGACGCCUACGGGAGGCAGCAGUAGGGAAUCUUCGGCAAUGGACGGAAGUCUGACCGAGCAACGCCGCGGGAGUGAAGAAGGUUUUCGGAUCGUAAAGCUCUGUUGUAAGAGAAGAACGAGUGUGAGAGUGGAAAGUUCACACUGUGACGGUAUCUUACCAGAAAGGGACGGCUAACUACGUG
Molecule: ribosomal RNA, 495 nt
Filed under: uncultured bacterium
Lineage: Bacteria
Description: partial 16S ribosomal RNA
Rfam family: Bacterial small subunit ribosomal RNA
Source: RNAcentral